AUACAGAGGGCUCGAGCGUUGAUCGGAAUCAUUGGGCUUAAAGGGUACGUGGGCGGGCUUGAAAGUAUCUUGUGAAAUCCCACGGCUCAACCGUGGCACUGCGAGGUAAACUUCAAGUCUUGAGAUCGGUAGAGGUUGUCGGAACAAUAGGUGGAGCGGUGAAAUGCGUAGAUAUCUAUUGGAACGCCAAAGGAGAAGUCAGACAACUGGGCCGAAUCUGACGCUGAGGUACGAAAGCGUGGGUAGCGAACGGGAUUAGAAACCCUUGUAGUCC
RNAcentral lists this ribosomal RNA (274 nucleotides) under uncultured bacterium. RNAcentral's name for it is "partial 16S ribosomal RNA". It matches the Rfam family "Bacterial small subunit ribosomal RNA", at positions 523 to 796 of the family's 1533-position model. The record is from RNAcentral.